UGAGGAAUUUUCCGCAAUGGGCGAAAGCCUGACGGAGCGACGUCGUGUGGGUGAUGAAGGUUUUCGGAUCUUAAAACCCUGUCAGCAGGAACGAUAUUGACGGUACCUGCAGAGGAAGCACCGGCUAACUACGUGCCAGCAGCCGCGGUAAUACGUAGGGUGCAAACGUUGUCCGGAAUCAUUGGGCGUAAAGCGCUUGUAGGCGGUUUCGUAAGUCAGUUGUAAAAUCCCCGGGCUCAACCCGGGUUCGCAAUUGAUACUGCGGAGCUAGAGAGAUGUAGAGGAAAGCGGAACUACCGGUGUAGCGGUGAAAUGCGUAGAUAUCGGUAGGAACACCAGUGGCGAAGGCGGCUUUCUGGACAUUUUCUGACGCUGAGAAGCGAAAGUUAAGGGAGCAAACGGG
RNAcentral lists this ribosomal RNA (403 nucleotides) under uncultured bacterium. RNAcentral describes it as "bacterial SSU rRNA". It matches the Rfam family "Bacterial small subunit ribosomal RNA", at positions 355 to 776 of the family's 1533-position model. The record is from RNAcentral.